GUUGAAUUUGUAGUAAUGAGAAUGAAGGUCCGGAUUGCAAUUGCCCUGCUCCUGGCAACCCUGAUGAUCGUUACUCAUGCACUUGCAACGCCGUUCCUCAGGCUGAAGGUGCCAACGGCCUCGUUUGAUUUCAAAAACCAAUUUCAGAAAUUCUGGGCUCGAUGGAGGCCCCACCAGGACGACCGCUACUGGCAUGGCUUCGACAUCGACGGAUACACGAAGAACGGUUAGGCCUAAGGAUCCCGAGAGGAGCUCCGUGGGAACUUCCGGUA
Molecule: long non-coding RNA, 272 nt
Filed under: Penaeus monodon (black tiger shrimp)
Lineage: Eukaryota; Metazoa; Arthropoda; Malacostraca; Decapoda; Penaeidae
Description: uncharacterized LOC119578990, transcript variant X1
Source: RNAcentral